RNAcentral lists this ribosomal RNA (253 nucleotides) under uncultured bacterium. RNAcentral describes it as "partial 16S ribosomal RNA". It matches the Rfam family "Bacterial small subunit ribosomal RNA", at positions 524 to 776 of the family's 1533-position model. The record is from RNAcentral.
UACGAAGGGGGCUAGCGUUGCUCGGAAUGACUGGGCGUAAAGGGCGCGUAGGCGGUUCGUACAGUCAGACGUGAAAUUCCUGGGCUUAACCUGGGGGCUGCAUUUGAUACGUGUGGGCUUGAGUGCGGAAGAGGGUCGUGGAAUUCCCAGUGUAGAGGUGAAAUUCGUAGAUAUUGGGAAGAACACCGGUGGCGAAGGCGGCGACCUGGUCCGUGACUGACGCUGAGGCGCGAAAGCGUGGGGAGCAAACAGG